Molecule: ribosomal RNA, 460 nt
Filed under: uncultured bacterium
Lineage: Bacteria
Description: partial 16S ribosomal RNA
Rfam family: Bacterial small subunit ribosomal RNA
Source: RNAcentral
CCUACGGGAGGCAGCAGUGAGGAAUAUUGGUCAAUGGACGAGAGUCUGAACCAGCCAAGUAGCGUGAAGGAUGACUGCCCUAUGGGUUGUAAACUUCUUUUAUAAAGGAAUAAAACGAGGCACGUGUGCCUUUUUGCAUGUACUUUAUGAAUAAGGAUCGGCUAACUCCGUGCCAGCAGCCGCGGUAAUACGGAGGAUCCGAGCGUUAUCCGGAUUGAUUGGGGUUAAAGGGAGCGUAGAUGGGUUGUUAAGUCCGUUGUGAAAGUUUGCGGCUCAACCGUAAAAUUGCAAUUGAUACUGGCAGUCUUGAGUACAGUUGAGGUAGGCGGAAUUCGUGGUGUAGCGGUGAAAUGCUUAGAUAUCACGAAGAACCCCGAUUGCGAAGGCAGCUUACUAAACUGUGACUGACAUUGAUGCUCGAAAGUGUGGGUAUCAAACAGGAUUAGAUACCCUAGUAGUC